RNAcentral lists this ribosomal RNA (906 nucleotides) under uncultured bacterium. RNAcentral describes it as "bacterial SSU rRNA". It matches the Rfam family "Bacterial small subunit ribosomal RNA", at positions 92 to 994 of the family's 1533-position model. The record is from RNAcentral.
CGAGUGGCGGACGGGUGCGUAACGCGUAGGAAUCUGCCUAUUAGUGGGGGAUAACUUAGGGAAACUUAAGCUAAUACCGCAUACGCCCUGAGGGGGAAAGGAGGGGAUCGUAAGACCUUUCGCUAAUAGAUGAGCCUGCGUAGGAUUAGCUAGUUGGUAGGGUAAAGGCCUACCAAGGCGACGAUCCUUAGCUGGUCUGAGAGGAUGAUCAGCCACACUGGGACUGAGACACGGCCCAGACUCCUACGGGAGGCAGCAGUGGGGAAUAUUGGACAAUGGGCGAAAGCCUGAUCCAGCAAUACCGCGUGUGUGAAGAAGGCCUUAGGGUUGUAAAGCACUUUCAAUUGGAAGGAAAACCCAGAUGUUAAUACCAUCUGGCUUGACAUUACCUUUAGAAGAAGCACCGGCUAACUCCGUGCCAGCAGCCGCGGUAAUACGGAGGGUGCGAGCGUUAAUCGGAAUUACUGGGCGUAAAGCGUGCGUAGGCGGCUUUUUAAGCCAGAUGUGAAAGCCCCGGGCUCAACCUGGGAACUGCAUUUGGAACUGGGGAGCUAGAGUUUGGAAGAGGAGAGUGGAAUUUCAGGUGUAGCGGUGAAAUGCGUAGAGAUCUGAAGGAACAUCAGUGGCGAAGGCGACUCUCUGGUCUAAAACUGACGCUCAGGUACGAAAGCGUGGGUAGCAAACAGGAUUAGAUACCCUGGUAGUCCACGCUGUAAACGAUGUCAACUAGCCGUUGGCUCUCAUAAGAGAGUUAGUGGCGCAGCUAACGCAUUAAGUUGACCGCCUGGGGAGUACGGCCGCAAGGUUAAAACUCAAAUGAAUUGACGGGGGCCCGCACAAGCGGUGGAGCAUGUGGUUUAAUUCGAUGCAACGCGAAGAACCUUACCUACCCUUGACAUCCAAAGA